CAGGAAUUGAACUCAGGACCUUGCAAUUGCCAUGAAGGUGCUUGUGCCACUGAGCUAUAUCCCCACCCAGGCUGAAGUAGAAUUUGAGAUCUGAGGUGUUUUUAUGUUUUGAAAACUAGUUUCUUCUAAUAGAGCUGACUGCGAGGUCUCUGAAGUAAGGGGAUUCACAACGGAGUUCUUACAAGAGGUCCUUGAACCAUCUGGAUGGUGGGCAGUCUGGCCCACUAAUGUGCUUGAGGUACUGGUUGAGAUUUUGUAUAUUCUUCCAUAACUUGCUGAGUGUCAAGAGGUCAUACAGAGAGGUA
This 305-nucleotide long non-coding RNA is filed under the name Chinchilla lanigera (long-tailed chinchilla). Its description in RNAcentral is "lncRNA (ENSCLAG00000024682.1)". The record is from RNAcentral. Lineage: Eukaryota; Metazoa; Chordata; Mammalia; Rodentia; Chinchillidae.